Molecule: long non-coding RNA, 6981 nt
Organism: Nerophis ophidion (straightnose pipefish)
Lineage: Eukaryota; Metazoa; Chordata; Actinopteri; Syngnathiformes; Syngnathidae
Exons: 3
Source: RefSeq, a predicted model, not a curated record
UCCUUCAGCAGGGAGGGCGGCGGGGACAGGCGUCGACUCAUGUCCCGGGAUUCAGACGUGCUCUCUGAGUUUGGCUGACUAGCACAGGACGACUCAUCGCCGCUGUGGAGUGGGGACGACUCGGCUGGCCAAUCAGCUGUGAUGCCCCCAGGGCUUGGGACGCAUGGGGGAGACUCCAGAAGCUUGGGUGCCUCAUCCAUAUUGGGGCCUUCUUUAGGUUUGGGGGAAGUCUUCCGGCAAGGAGACUCAAUGGCUUUUGCGGGCGAGCUGGACCCUCUGGAGCGAGACGAGUCCGUCCCCUUGCAUCUGUUCUUCCUGCCUUUGGACCGCCGACACUCCCUCCCUCUGAGUCGGGGGGAAUCGCUGCUCCUGCUCCGCGGCGACCCCGACGACCUGCUAUGGGACACGCAACAACGUCGGAUGUCUGUCCUCGCCCACAUACCCAUAAAGUCAUGAGACACAGUCAAACCUGGAAUGAGGCGAGUCUGCACCCCUGAGGUGAUGAAGACGAGGGGACUCAACACUCUUUACCAAAGACCAGCUACCUCCUUGCUCGCGCUCUGCUUUAGCCUUUUGCAGUUCCUGGCAGACAAAAGGCACUGAAUUACACCAGCUCAAGACCAACCUGUCAAGAACCAACCUGUAAUUUCAUCUCUUCCAGGACAAAAGGCACAGAAUUAGAUCCACUCGAGACCAACCUGCUUAUGACUAUUCUAGAAUAUAUUCUCUUCCAGAACAAAAAGCCACAAAAUUAGAACUGAUCAAGACAGACCUGUCUAGUGCAAACCUGUGAUAUCAUCUGUUUCAGGUCAAGAAUCUAAUAAUUAAAAGUUCAAGACCGACCUGUCUAGAGCCAAGGUGUAAUCUCAACUCGUCCAGAACAAAAAUCAAAGAUUUAAAUGUUCAAAACCAACCUGUCUACUGCCAACGUGUAAUUUCAUCACUUCCAGGACAAAAGUCAAAGAAUCAAAUGUUCAAGACCAAACUGUCUAGGACAUACCUCUAAUCUAAUCUCUUCCAGGACAAAGGACAUACAAACCCCGUUUCCAUAUUAGUUGGGAAAUUGUGUUAGAUGUAAAUAUAAACAGAAUGCAAUGAUUUGCAAAUCUUUUUCAACCCAUAUUCAAUAGAAUGCACUACAAAGACAACAUAUUUGAUGUUCAAACUCAUAAACUAUAUACUGUAUAUUUUUUUUCAAGUAAUAAUUAACUUAGAAUUUCAUGGCUGCAACAUGUGCCAAACUAGUUGGGAAAGGACAUGUUCACCACUGUGUUACAUCACCUUUUCUUUUAACAACACUCAAUAAAAGUUUGGGAACUGAAAAAACUAAUUGUUGAUUCUUUGAAAGUGGAAUUCUUUCCCAUUCUUGUUUUAUGUAGAGCUUCAGUCGUUCAACAGUCCGGGGCCGUCCGCUGUCGUAUUUUACGCUUCAUAAUGCGCCACACAUUUUCAACGGGAGACAGGUCUGGACUGCAGGCGGGCCAGGAAAGUACCCGCACUCUUUUUUUUUUUUACAAAGCCACGCUGUUGCAACACGUGCUGAAUGUGGCUUGGCAUUGUCUUGCUGAAAUAAGCAGGGGUGUCUAUGAUAACGUUGCUUGGAUGAUUACACAUGUUGUUCCAAAACCUGUAUGUACCUUUCCGCAUUAAAGGUGCCUUCACAGAUGUGUAAGUUACCCAUGCCUUGGGCACUAAUGCACCCCCAUACCAUCACAGAUGCUGGCUUUUGAACAUUGCGUCGAUAACAGUCUGGAUGGUUCGCUUCCCCUUUGCUCCGCAAUGACACAAUGUCGAAUAUUUCCAAAAACAAUUUGAAAUGUGGACUAAUCAGACCACAGAACACUUUUCCACUUUGCAUCAGUCCAUCUUAGAUGAUCUCGGGCCCAGAGAAGCCGGCGGCGUUUCUGAAUGUUGUUGAUGAAUGGCUUUCGCUUUGCAUAGUAGAACUUUAAUUUGUACUUACAGAUGUAGCGACAAACUGUAUUUAGUGACAGUGGUUUUCUGAAGUGUUCCUGAGCCCAUGUGGUGGUAUCCUUUAAAGAUUGAUGUCGUUUUUUUAUACAGUGCUGUCUGAGGGAUUGAAGGUGACGGUCAUUCAAUGUUGGUUUCCGGCCAUGCCGCUUACGUGUCGUGAUGUCUCCAGAUUCUCUGAACUUUUUGAUGAUAUUAUGACCGUAGAUGUUGAAAUCCCUAAAUUUCUUGCAAUUGCACUUUGGAAAAAUCCUUGUUCUUAAACUGUUUGACUAUUUGCUCACGCAGUUGUGGACAAAGCGGUGUACCUCGCCCCAUCCUUUCUUGUGAAAGACAGCAUUUUUUGGGAGGCUGUUUUUAUACCCAAUCAUGGCACCCACCUGUUCCCAAUUAGCCUGCACACCUGUGGGAUGUUCCAAAUAAGUGUUUGAUGAGCAUUUCUCAACUUUCAGUAUUUAUGCCACCUUUCCCAACUUCUUUGUCACAUGUUGCUGGCAUCAUAUUCUAAAGUUAAUGAUUAUUUAUAAAAAAAAAUUUUUUUUAUCAGUUUGAACAUUAAAUAUGUUGUCUUUGUAGCAUAUUCAAUUGAAUAUGGGUUGAAAAGGAUUUGCAAAUCAUUGUAUUCCGUUCAUAUUUACAUCUAAAACAAUUUUCUUAACUCAUAUGGAAAUGGGGUAUGUAGAAUUAGACCCAGUUAAGUCCAACCUAUGCAGUACCAACCUGUAAUCUCAUUUCUUCCAGAUCAAUUGGCAUAGCAUUAGAUGCUGAAGACCGAACUGCCUAGGACCAACCUGUUUUCUAAUCUCUUCCAGGACAAACGACAUAGAAUUAGACCCGUUCAAGACCAACCUAUAUAAGACCAACCUGCAAUAUCUUCUCUUCCAGGACAAAACACACAGAAUGAGAUCCUCAAGACCGAACUGUCUAAAACCAACCUGUGAUCUAAUCUCUUCCAGGUCAAACAAGAGAGAAUUAUACCCGCUUGAGACCAACCUAUAUAGAACCAACCUGUAAUCUCAUCUCUUCCAGAUCAAUGUUCAUAGAUUUAGACACUCUCAAGACCGACCUGUUUCAGGUCAACCUGUAAUCUCAUCUCUUUCAGGACAAAAAUCAAUUAAUGAAAAGUUCAAGACCGACCUGUCUACAGCUAACGUGUAAUCUAAUGUCUUCCAGGACAAAAGUCUAACAAUUAAAUGUUCAAGACCGACCUGUCUAUGGCCAAUGUGUAAUUUAAUCUCUUCCAGAACAAAAGUGAAAUAAUUACAUGUUGAAGACCAACCGGUCCAGGACCAACGUGUAAACUCAUUUCUUCCAGUACAAAUGGCACAGAAUUAGAUGCUUAAAACCGAACUGUAUAGAGCCAACCUCCAAUCUAAUCUCUUCCAUGACAAACAACAUAGAAUUAGACCCAGUUAAAACCAACCUAUAUAGAACCAACCUGUAAUCUCAUCUCUUCCAGAUCAAUUGGCAUAGCAUUAGAUGCUCAAGACCGAAAUGUCUAAAACCAACCUGUAAUCUAAUCUCUUCCAGGUCAAACGACAUAGCAUUGGACCCACUUGAGACCAACCUAGAUAGAACCAACCUGUAAUCUCAUCUCUUCCAGAUCAAUGGUCAUAGAAAUACACCCUCUCAAAACCGACCUGUCAACGAGUCAACCUGUAAUCUCAUGUCUUCCAGGACAAAAAGCAUAGGGUUAGACCCGCUCAAGACCAACCUUUCUAGAACCAACCUGUAAUCUCAUCUCCUCCAGCAGCUCUUGAGCCCGCUGCAUCCUCUGAGCAAUGAGGCUCUGCAGUUGACCCACCGGCUGCACAGAAGCCCCGCCCUCCUCUUCGGUUGGACAGCGGCGAAGAACCGAGCGCAACUCAGAGCGGAUCAUUGCCGGUCUGGAACAGAAAGGAGGAAGAAGAUGCAGGCGGCCAAGGUUGAUGUUUUUCCCUGCCAGUGUGGAAACGUUAAUACCUGGAAGAGAGGACUUCAUCCAUCGAAGCGCAGCGACUUCGCCCCUGCACGAUGGACUUUUUACCGGGCUGAGGGGUUCUGGACUGAUUCUGGAGAACCUUAUAAAAAACAAUGGACUCAGAUCAACACGGCCUGGACCAGACUGACAAGUGGUUCUGAGUCUUUACCUGCAGCUGCUGGCUCUUCUGCACCUUGGCGGCUUCCAGGUGGGAAUAUUUUCCCCAGGAUCGCUCACUUCCUCUGGGCAGACUUCCAGUCUUCACUUUGGGCUCCUUGGUCUUUACCCGUAACUUGGAAACGUCGGUACCCGAGCGCUGACGCCCUCCAACCACCUGAUACGCUGUCACCUGGUUGCUGGAGCCCACACGGAAGCCGUUGUCCCACGAGUCACAUUCCGACGAGAAGCCCUCCUCUUCGGCCACCAGGUCAAGGGUCACCAGUCCGUGGCAGGACGUGGACGCCUGGUGGUCCAAAAGGACAGUGAGUGCCUUAAGCCAACAUAUCAGACCAGAGCGGUCGCAGUACCACAGCCAUGAGGUGUCCUCGCGUUGGCAGCCGACGUCCUUGCGGUAUCUUGGCUCUGUCUCUGGUGGGAUGGACCAACACGUCCUCCAUGGUCACCUGCACAUAGAAGAUCUCUGUCUUUUCGAGGUGUUGUGUACAUGUGUUGACUACGUGCGGACAUCAUCUAAGUCUGGCCCACACCUGGUCUAGGACACGGUUCUUGGCUCUGACGAUGCCCACGUUUAGCGCGUGGACCCAUGACUCUUUCUCCUCUGGACUCACGGCCAGGAAGACCAGGUUGGGAACCUGGAGGAGGAUAAAUGACGUCAAAGUUAGACAGGUUGACAGGGGGAAUUCUGUCAUGAUGAUGACGACGAUGACAUCACACAAGCAGAGGAAGACCUCCUGACGUUCAGCAGGGAUUAUCCUGCUCCAGCACUGACACACUAAUGGGAUUCUGUGGAUUAAAUCUUUUUACAGGGGAAAAAAAACUAGGCAGCGGCCCAGCCAAUCAGAGUGUGGCAGCAUGUUAAAUCCCACCCACCACUCGGGAUCAAAGUCCACCAAUAAGGAUUCAGCAAGCGUCGGGCCGGGACGAAGUAAAUCUCUUGGAGGACGGACACACUAAAAUCACUGAAAAAUUCCACUUUGGUAGUUUUGACAUCAUCAGGAAUGUAAAUAAAGUGUCCUCCAUCUUGGAACGUGUUCAGGCAGGCACUCUAUGCAGUUGUUUAGGGCCAAAUCCACAAGGAGGGGCACAUAUUUAGAAAGGCUCUGGCCAUCAAUUUAGAGACUUUUGAAUGCCAUUUUUUGCCUUGGAAGGUACAAUAAUUUUUAAAAAAUUAUAUUAAAGUCUACAAUGGAACAAUUACCAAAAUCUUAAGGAUCACAAAAAGCCCAGGGAAGACUGACCGUGUUUCCGGGCUGCCUGCAGCGAAGCAGAGUGAAGCGGCUGUGGUUCUUCUUGCUGCGACUCUUUGCUUUCCUCAGCUCCUCCGAACGCUCGUAGUCGGCCAAGUCGAAAACUUCCUGCGCCUUGCGCUCGUCCUUCACCUGAGACAUACACGAAGUGGUUUUGGUGACGCCACACUGAUGCUCUCAUGUGUUGCCAUGGUUACUGUGAUGAUGCCUCCACAUUGCCUGGGGGAGGUACUCCGGCUUCCUCCCACCUCCAAAGACAUGCACCUGGGGAUAGUUUGCAGAGGGGUCGCGGGAGGGCUGGAGUCUUGCCCAGCCUGGACAAGUCGCCACCUCAUCGCAGGGUCAACGCAUUCACACUCAUGACUGUCGUUUGUUACUACUUUUAAUUUUGUAGUUAUUUCCCCAUAUUUCUACACAAUAAGAUAUAGUAACCCUUGCGAGGAAAAAAAAAAUAUGGAGUGAUUUUUUUUGUCCAGUUCAUACUUUACUUCAUUCAUUAUUGAAAUAUUUCUUGCCAGUUUAUGUUGUAUAUUUUUAAAAGAGAUUUCCAGUUAAUUUUCUCAUCUUAUUACACCCAGAAAUGUUGGAUUGCAGGACAUUUCCUUGGGUUCAAAUUCAAUGUUAUUUUGUUGAUGGAGAAAUGUGACUACAAUUUUUUUUUUACGACGUAAACUUGGUCUGUUGGGGUUGUGAACAUGCUGGCACAAAAAUUUUUACUUUUUCGCACUUUAUUUUAAAUGUUUUCAUAUAUAGCAUGCAUAUUUGGCAUGUUAUGGUGACCUAAGUGUGUAAAAACAAGUUUAAAUUUUUUUUUUAGUUUGUACUUUUAUUUUAUAGUGAUUUGCAUUUUAAGUUAUAUUAGAGCUGUCAAAAAUAUUGAGUUGACUCAUGCGAUUCAUCACAAAAAGUGAUCACAUUAAUCAUGUAUAAACACAGAUUAAUCACAAUAUUUGCAAGUUAUGAGCAAAAAAAUGCUGUGCAUUCAAGUAAAACAUUUAAAACAUGCUCACGGAUGACAUUUUGACAAUAAAACUACAUUUGUGUUAAAAUAUUGGAGUCUUUAAUUACAUUUUUUUUCAAUCGCAAAAAAACCCCUUAACGAUAUUUCAGAUACUUUUUCUAAACUUAACAGACUCACACCUACAAAACACAAUUGGUCAAAAGGAUCAUUUCUUUCUAAAAAACACUUGUUAAAAAUAUACUGACACUUUAUUUCAAAAUAGAAUAUUUCUCUACACACACUAGUUUAGAAAUCGGACUCCAAAUUGAAAUAUUCUGUCAUAAAACUGUCAUGAGGGCAGUUCUCCUGCCUUUUUCCCUCUUGUGUCUGUAAGUCUCCUCCCCCAUCAUCAGUUGCAGGUGUGCUGCCAGUCAUUCAAGCCCACCCGCGUUUAAUCAACCACCUGACUUAAACCCUGGAUCUCCAUCCAGCCAGUGCCAGUUCGUCUGUUGCCAAGCUCACUUACUCUGACCUUUGCCCUGAACCCUUUGUUAUUCUUGUUUUUUGUAUUUCCUCGGGUGGUGGACCGACUUUUGACCUGGUUUUCCUGGAGCUGAUUUUUCGUUACUACAGAUUUAUUUUCUCCAGUGGCUUUUUGUUAUUAAAUAUCAAUUUUUUACUGA